CAAGGAUGUACUUGUUAUUGCAAACGAGUUAUUGCUUUGUAUUUUUACAUGCCGGUGGUUGGAAGGCGAUAAUAAUUUCUGUAUGUCUACACAUAGUAUAUUCAUCCCACUGGAAAAAGCAUCAAGAAUGUGUGUGCAGAGAUGUCUUGGAGGGACAAUAUAUGUUUGUUUUCCCUACAUGCCAAUCCACCUUAUUAUAUUAGGACAUAUUACUCAUCUCUAAUAUUGUUUUUUUUCUAAUUUAUGAACAUAUUAUGCCUACAAUGACGAGCUAUUCUAUUAGGAUACUUAAAUUAGGGAGCCUUAAUAAAUAAUAGUAUAAAGAUGGUACUGAAGGAGGCUUUGCAACUAGCAAGGUACUCUGUUUACAAUCUAACUGGUAUUUCUUAAAAGAUGUAUGGCUGUUGUGUCUCUCAGGCAAUAUAAAACAUGAUUCUACAUGCUCUGCUAAAUUUGCAACUUUCAAUGUUUUGUGGGGCCUUUCCUCUCAACUGUAGAGAUUUUACCUAAAGGUGUUCUUCCCUGAUUUUCCUGUGUGUGACUCUAGCUAUUUUACUUCAUUUAUGUUGUUUGUUUCGUCAAUUCUGUUGAAGUUACUGUAGUUGACUGAUUUGAAUUGUUGAUCGUCCACCUUGAAGGUUAUAAUUGCUAAAGAAGCAGCAAGAGAUUUUGAAUAUAUGGUCCGACAACUUCCACCUGAUCAGAUUGAAAAUAAAAGUAGAAGAUUGCAUCCAGCGAACAAUGAUUAAGCAUAUUCAUCGAACAAAGCAUUGAAUAUACAAAGGUCUCCACAAGGUUUGCAUAAGAAGAUCUGGUCGCGUGCAAGAUUGGAGCGCCCUGUGCAAUUCCUCGACUGUUUGACACAGCGAGCGUCGAACGGGAGGGCUCCCAGGGGAGGCACGCCCGCCAGGGGCAUCUCCUUCGUUUGGGCAAGGCCACCGCUUCCCUUUUUGCCACCAGUGAAUAACAGUCGCGGCACCACAUCAUUCACUUGCCUACGAUAGAUUGACGGGUGCUCCACUCCACUACUCCAUCUCAUGUUGUAUAUUUCCUCUCUUUAUAUCAAAUAAAGUAUAGCAUGUAAAUAUGUUUAAAUUCAGAAAUAACAUUUUCCUUCUAUCUUCACUUAUACUGUUUGGGUUAGUAUAAAUAAAUUCAGCGGAUGCUCUUAUUUGAAGCCAGAUUAUAGGAUUAUUCCUCUGGUGUUAUUGAUGGUUUGAUCUA
Long non-coding RNA from Triticum dicoccoides, 1224 nucleotides. RefSeq lists it as uncharacterized. The record is from RefSeq and is a predicted model, not a curated record. NCBI's taxonomy places the organism in Eukaryota, Viridiplantae, Streptophyta, Magnoliopsida, Poales, Poaceae. The transcript has 2 exons.